This 497-nucleotide ribosomal RNA is filed under the name uncultured bacterium. RNAcentral describes it as "partial 16S ribosomal RNA". It matches the Rfam family "Bacterial small subunit ribosomal RNA", at positions 28 to 507 of the family's 1533-position model. The record is from RNAcentral.
GAUGAACGCUGGCGGCGUGCCUAAUACAUGCAACUCGAGCGAACAGAUGAGGAGCUUGCUCCUCUGACGUUAGCGGCGGACGGGUGAGUAACACGUGGAUAACCUACCUAUAAGACUGGGAUAACUUCGGGAAACCGGAGCUAAUACCGGAUAAUAUAUUGAACCGCAUGGUUCAAUAGUGAAAGACGGUUUUGCUGUCACUUAUAGAUGGAUCCGCGCCGCAUUAGCUAGUUGGUAAGGUAACGGCUUACCAAGGCAACGAUGCGUAGCCGACCUGAGAGGGUGAUCGGCCACACUGGAACUGAGACACGGUCCAGACUCCUACGGGAGGCAGCAGUAGGGAAUCUUCCGCAAUGGGCGAAAGCCUGACGGAGCAACGCCGCGUGAGUGAUGAAGGUCUUCGGAUCGUAAAACUCUGUUAUUAGGGAAGAACAAAUGUGUAAGUAACUAUGCACGUCUUGACGGUACCUAAUCAGAAAGCCACGGCUAACUACGUG